GGGACGUAAGGUUCUGCCUCCUCGUACGUAUCUUCGUCAUCAUCGUCACCUCCUAGACCUCCUGGAGGGUGGGGCGGCACCUUGGGGCCCUGCAGCUAAAACAUGAACAUCAGUUAGCUCAGUGGUGGAAACCAGUGUGACCAGUAAGGCUGAUGCUCACCCCGUUCCUCAGCCAUGCAGACAGGUCCUGAUUUGAGACCAGCUCAGAGGCCCGGACAGCUGCGGAUACAACAACAACAACACAGAGCUUUCAUGAAGUCUUCAGGAUUCGCAGGUGUGUCUGUCAGCUCGUUGCUAGGAGACGAUGAUGGACAGCUCAUGAUCAUGUACUCGGCAUCUUCCACUGAAAACACAGCAGGAAACACUUUUAUUCGGGUGUCUGUGGGUUUGGCAGUACUCUGAGUAUCAGCAGUAAUGUGAGUACUGGUGUGUUUUUACCUGGAGCGUCCUGAUUCUGCAGCGUGGACAGCAGCUCUGAGAUGGAUUUCUUCUGAGCCUGAGCGAUGUAACUCAGGUUCUCUGAGUCCAGAACAGACAGGAAGGACUGCAGAUCCCAGAUCAGCUUGGCCAGCACUGGAUACAGACAGACAGACAGUCGGACGGACGAUCGUCUGGAUGUCUGUUUGAGCUCAUUAACCAGGAGGAAAAUGAGUUUACAGACUUUAUCUCGACCUCACAGCGAGUCACAGUUGAACUGACUGCUGGGCCAUGAGUCAUGUUUGUUCUCACACUCUCAGUAUCUGAUGUCGCUGUUUACACGCCAACAGACACUCUGUCUGUCUGUCCACAGACUCUAAUGUUUAAGCUUUGCAGCAGAAACAAACAUGUUUACAGCCUGACACACAAACUGUUUGGUCUCUGUGGGUCCUUUUCCUCCUUCAUAACAACUAUGGGACGGACGGGAUGGUCAUAGUUUGCAUUAUUAGGGGGCGUGGUCUCUUUGACUGACAGGUGGAUGGUGACACAGCUUCACCUGAACUGGACCCCUGGACUCCAGCUUACCACUCCACACUCUCAUCCAAAAUAUGGACACUGAUAUCUCAGUCUUGCAUUUUCUUUCUUCAUUUUGGUCCAGCCAUGGGGGGUCAGGGGGGUACCGGGGUGGAUGGGAGGGCUGCCUCCUGUGCUCGUGCUCAACAGGGUGUCGGUGGAAAUGAUGCUGCGGUUUAUUGAAGGCCGAGGAGGAGGGUGGGGGGAAGGCAUGUUAGGAGGAAGUGAGAGAAAAGGAAAGACAGGAGUGUGGAGGUGACGCUGGGGCCGGAGGAAAAGAGGAGGAUCACAGAUGUAGUGACGGAGGACAUCCACAGGGUUGGUGUGCCAGUGGAGGAUGCUGAGAUGGGGGAGAUGAAUAAUAAUAAGAAUGUUCUUCCUUCGUUUCCGAGUGGAGUGAUUGAUUUUGGCCGUCUUCUCCUUCAAAUCGACCCCAACACUCAUUUAUGUCUCUCAGAAAGAGACUGAAUAUGGACGGUGUGGGUUCAACCACACUAUCGGCUGCUUGGUUGGAGCUGAUACAGCAGCUGAACCAGCCCAGGAAAAACGAGGUCUUACUUUAGUUUUGAUAAAAAUAAGUGGAUACAGCAAAGUGAGCGUCUGACCAACAGCUGCAAUUUACAUGAAUCCAGAUGUGAUUCAUGAUUCUGAAAUGUAAAAAUAUCUGAGGACUGAAGGGGUGUAAAUAGUUUCCUGGAUGUUAAAAACUGCAUAUUUGCAUCAUUUAUUUGAAAUUUUGGGAUUCACUAUGAGGACAGUGUGUGUUUGGGCAGAUUGUUACUGUGGCAGGUGGGUUUGCUCCCACAGUCUGAGUGUAAGCUGGCCGAGAUGAGAUCCAUUUUUGUUUUUGUUUCUCUGCUCUGAGUUUCCAUAAUGAGUUUUCUCUCAUGUGAUAAGAAAAAAGAAACAACGAACUUUUCGAGUUCCUGUGCACAGCAGGGAUUCAGGUGAUGUAACUGUGUUUACUCUGAGUUAAACAUUGGCAGGAGCCAGGAGCUUAUCAGUUUGCAUCCUGUCAUCAAUUAACACGUGAAGGCCAGAACAUCUGCAUAUUUGUGCAGGAAACGUUUACCUGAACAGGUGCGGUCAGACUGUUGUUCUGUAUGAAACUGACUUUUACAUGUGAAUCACAUUUUCUUACGAUCAUCUGAGGAUGCAGAUGAGGAGCCGCGGCUGAUGUGUGUUUCUGUCUGAGAGUGAAGAAUCAGCAUCUUGUUUUUCUGCCUUUGAAUGAUUUCAGCUCUUAUCUUCUGAAGUGAAACAGAGUGAGUAUUCAUUCACACAUAACAACGGCUUCAUUCAUAACACGAACACAGACGGACUUCAUCACAGUUUUCAUGUUUAAUCAACCUGCUCGUAGCAAACUGACCAUCCCCCGUCAGCUUUACUUAUUACAGAACAAAAACAUUUAGUGAAGGUAAGAGCAGCCUGUCAGGGCCUUUGUUAGUUUAACAUGAAUCAUUAAGGAUGUCCAACAGUCCACAGUUAUAUUCGUUUUAAAAAAACAAAACAAAAAUGUACAAAAGGCUCUGAAAACUGUUUUUUUAACCUCUCAACACCAUAAGCACUCCCAGGAACCCAGAGACUGGUAUGACCUCCUAAAGGACCACACCUAGAACCUGCCUAAUGUCCAUAUAAACUACAUAAAUCAUCACUAUAAUCAUCAUAAGGACAUCUAGAACAUGGCCAGUAGAACUUCUAAAU
Molecule: long non-coding RNA, 2694 nt
Organism: Haplochromis burtoni (Burton's mouthbrooder)
Lineage: Eukaryota; Metazoa; Chordata; Actinopteri; Cichliformes; Cichlidae
Exons: 3
Source: RefSeq, a predicted model, not a curated record